GACGAACGCUGGCGGCGUGCUUAACACAUGCAAGUCGAACGGAAAGACCCUGCUUUUGUGGGGUGCUCGAGUGGCGAACGGGUGAGUAACACGUGAGUAACCUGCCCUUGACUUUGGGAUAACUUCAGGAAACUGGGGCUAAUACCGGAUAGGAGCUCCUGCUGCAUGGUGGGGGUUGGAAAGUUUCGGCGGUUGGGGAUGGACUCGCGGCUUAUCAGCUUGUUGGUGGGGUAGUGGCUUACCAAGGCUUUGACGGGUGGCCGGCCUGAGAGGGUGACCGGCCACAUUGGGACUGAGAUACGGCCCAGACUCCUACGGGAGGCAGCAGUGGGGAAUAUUGCACAAUGGGCGGAAGCCUGAUGCAGCAACGCCGCGUGCGGGAUGACGGCCUUCGGGUUGUAAACCGCUUUCGCCUGUGACGAAGCGUGAGUGACGGUAAUGGGUAAAGAAGCACCGGCUAACUACGUG
This 468-nucleotide ribosomal RNA is filed under the name uncultured bacterium. Its description in RNAcentral is "partial 16S ribosomal RNA". It matches the Rfam family "Bacterial small subunit ribosomal RNA", at positions 28 to 507 of the family's 1533-position model. The record is from RNAcentral.